Molecule: ribosomal RNA, 292 nt
Filed under: uncultured bacterium
Lineage: Bacteria
Also listed under: 1 other name
Description: partial 16S ribosomal RNA
Source: RNAcentral
GGACUACACGGGUAUCUAAUCCUGUUUGCUCCCCACGCUUUCGUGUCUGAGUGUCAGUGCUGGUCCAGGUAGCCGCCUUCGCCACUGGUGUUCCUCCCGAUCUCUACGCAUUUCACCGCUACACCGGGAAUUCCACUACCCUCUACCGCACUCUAGCUCGCCAGUAUCCACUGCCAUUCCCAGGUUGAGCCCGGGGAUUUCACAGCAGACUUAACGAACCACCUGCACACGCUUUACGCCCAGUAAUUCCGAGUAACGCUUGCACCCUUCGUAUUACCGCGGCUGCUGGCAC